This 74-nucleotide transfer RNA is filed under the name Bacillota bacterium. RNAcentral describes it as "tRNA-Val". It matches the Rfam family "tRNA". Rfam says of the family: Transfer RNA (tRNA) molecules are approximately 80 nucleotides in length. Their secondary structure includes four short double-helical elements and three loops (D, anti-codon, and T loops). Further hydrogen bonds mediate the characteristic L-shaped molecular structure. tRNAs have two regions of fundamental functional importance: the anti-codon, which is responsible for specific mRNA codon recognition, and the 3' end, to which the tRNAs corresponding amino acid is attached (by aminoacyl-tRNA synthetases). tRNAs cope with the degeneracy of the genetic code in two manners: having more than one tRNA (with a specific anti-codon) for a particular amino acid; and 'wobble' base-pairing, i.e. permitting non-standard base-pairing at the 3rd anti-codon position. Lineage: Bacteria; Bacillati; Bacillota. RNAcentral also lists the same sequence under 2 other names. The record is from RNAcentral.
GGGCGGUUAGCUCAGCUGGUUAGAGUGCUUGCUUGACAUGCAAGAGGUCGCAGGUUCAAAUCCUGCACCGCCCA